Molecule: ribosomal RNA, 462 nt
Filed under: uncultured bacterium
Lineage: Bacteria
Description: partial 16S ribosomal RNA
Rfam family: Bacterial small subunit ribosomal RNA
Source: RNAcentral
CCUACGGGAGGCAGCAGUGAGGAAUAUUGGUCAAUGGACGCAAGUCUGACCCAGCCACGUAGCGUGCAGGAUGACGGCCCUCCGGGUUGUAAACUGCUUUUAGUUGGGAAUAAAGUGGGGCUCGUGAUCCCCGUAUUGUAUGUACCAUCAGAAAAAGAACCAGCUAAUUCCGUGCCAGCAGCCGCGGUAAUACGGAAGGUCCGGGCGUUAUCCGGAUUUAUUGGGUUUAAAGGGCGCGUAGGCGGGCUUUUAAGUCCGCUGUGAAAGUCCGCGGCUCAACCUUGGAAUUGCAGUUGAAACUGGAGGACUUGAGUGUACACAGGGAUGGUGGAAUUCAUGGUGUAGCGGUGAAAUGCUUAGAUAUCAUGAAGAACUCCGAUGGCGAAGGCAAGUGUCCGGGGUGCAACUGACGCUGAGGCGCGAAAGCGCGGGUAUCAAACAGGAUUAGAUACCCGAGUAGUC